RNAcentral lists this ribosomal RNA (463 nucleotides) under uncultured bacterium. RNAcentral describes it as "partial 16S ribosomal RNA". It matches the Rfam family "Bacterial small subunit ribosomal RNA", at positions 28 to 507 of the family's 1533-position model. The record is from RNAcentral.
GAUGAACGCUGACAGAAUGCUUAACACAUGCAAGUCGAUGGGGAAGUGGUGCUUGCACCAUGGUAACCAUGGCGGACGGGUGAGUAACGCGUAAGGAACUUGCCUGCGGGACUGGGAUAACAGCAGGAAACUGCUGAUAAUACCGGAUAAGGUCAUUAAGCUGCAUAGCUUAGUGAUGAAAGGAGACGCCUGCGGAGAGCCUUGCGUCCUAUUAGCUAGUUGGAGGGGUAACGGCCCACCAAGGCGAAGAUAGGUAGCCGGCCUGAGAGGGUGGACGGCCACAAGGGGACUGAGAUACGGCCCUUACUCCUACGGGAGGAAGCAGUGGGGAAUAUUGGACAAUGGGGGCAACCCUGAUCCAGCAAUUCUGUGUGCACGAAGACGGUUUUCGGAUUGUAAAGUGCUUUCAGCAGGGAAGAAGGAAGUGACGGUACCUGCAGAAGAAGCGACGGCUAACUACGUG